AUUUGAGAGGAGCUGUCCUUAGUACGAGAGGACCGGGAUGGACCAACCUCUGGUGCACCAGUUGUCACGCCAGUGGCACAGCUGGGUAGCUAUGUUGGGACUGGAUAAACGCUGAAAGCAUCUAAGCGUGAAGCCAACCUCAAGAUGAGAUUUCCCAUAGCGUAAGCUAGUAAGACUCCUGGAAGAACACCAGGUUGAUAGGUCAGAGAUGUAAGCAUGGCAACAUGUUAAGUUGACUGAUACUAAUAAGUCGAGGGCUUGACCAAAA
This 268-nucleotide ribosomal RNA is filed under the name Clostridium combesii. RNAcentral describes it as "partial 23S ribosomal RNA". It matches the Rfam family "Bacterial large subunit ribosomal RNA", at positions 2660 to 2925 of the family's 2925-position model. The record is from RNAcentral. Lineage: Bacteria; Bacillati; Bacillota; Clostridia; Eubacteriales; Clostridiaceae.